UAAGAGUCCUAAACAGACUGUCAUAUGAAUUAAAACAACAUCAGAUCCAGCAGACCGAAACAGGACAUGUAAUGUGGAACCAAAUGUGAUAAUAAUAUUUUAACUUUACCAUUUUGCCAGGGUAAUUGGGUC
Alosa sapidissima (American shad) is the source of this 132-nucleotide long non-coding RNA. RefSeq lists it as uncharacterized. The transcript has 4 exons. The record is from RefSeq and is a predicted model, not a curated record. Lineage: Eukaryota; Metazoa; Chordata; Actinopteri; Clupeiformes; Clupeidae.